Molecule: ribosomal RNA, 458 nt
Filed under: uncultured bacterium
Lineage: Bacteria
Description: bacterial SSU rRNA
Rfam family: Bacterial small subunit ribosomal RNA
Source: RNAcentral
CGAACGCUGGCGGCAUGGCUAAAACAUGCAAGUCGAACGCGAAAGGGGACUUCGGUCCCCAAGUAGAGUGGCGAACGGGCGAGUAAUGCGUUUCUAACGUGCCCCGAGGUCAGGGAUAGCCCAGGGAAACCUGGAUUAAUACCUGAUGACCCCCCGACGUCGUAUGGCGAUGGGGGCAAAGGCUUGCUGCCUCGGGAUCGGGAAACGUCCUAUCAGGUUGUUGGUGAGGUAACGGCUCACCAAGCCUAAGACGGGUAGCGGGUGUGAGAGCACGACCCGCCGCAUCGGGACUGAGACACUGCCCGGACUCCUACGGGAGGCUGCAGUAACGAAUAUUCCGCAAUGCACGAAAGUGUGACGGAGCAAUGCCGCGUGUGGGAUGAAGCCCUUCGGGGUGUAAACCACUGUCAGGGGUCAGAAAGAUCUGAUCAGCCCCAAAGGAAGAGCCGGCUAACUCU